UACGGGGGGAGCAAGCGUUGUUCGGAUUUACUGGGCGUAAAGCGCGCGUAGGCGGACCUGCAAGUCGGGGGUGAAAGCCCGAGGCUCAACCUCGGAACUGCCUUCGAUACUGCGGGUCUCGAGUCCGGGAGAGGUGAGUGGAAUUCCUAGUGUAGAGGUGAAAUUCGUAGAUAUUCGCAAGAACACCAGUGGCGAAGGCGGCUUACUGGACCGGUUCUGACGCUGAGGCGCGAAAAGCGUGGGGAGCAAACAGG
This 254-nucleotide ribosomal RNA is filed under the name uncultured bacterium. Its description in RNAcentral is "partial 16S ribosomal RNA". It matches the Rfam family "Bacterial small subunit ribosomal RNA", at positions 524 to 776 of the family's 1533-position model. The record is from RNAcentral.